AUUGAACGCUGGCGGCAGGCCUAACACAUGCAAGUCGAACGGUAACAGGAAACAGCUUGCUGUUUCGCUGACGAGUGGCGGACGGGUGAGUAAUGUCUGGGAAACUGCCUGAUGGAGGGGGAUAACUACUGGAAACGGUAGCUAAUACCGCAUAACGUCGCAAGACCAAAGAGGGGGACCCUCGGGCCUCUUGCCAUCGGAUGUGCCCAGAUGGGAUUAGCUUGUUGGUGGGGUAACGGCUCACCAAGGCGACGAUCCCUAGCUGGUCUGAGAGGAUGACCAGCCACACUGGAACUGAGACACGGUCCAGACUCCUACGGGAGGCAGCAGUGGGGAAUAUUGCACAAUGGGCGCAAGCCUGAUGCAGCCAUGCCGCGUGUAUGAAGAAGGCCUUCGGGUUGUAAAGUACUUCCAGCGGGGAGGAAGGGGGUAAAGUUAAUACCUUUGCUCAUUGACGUUACCCGCAGAAGAAGCACCGGCUAACUCCGUG
Molecule: ribosomal RNA, 490 nt
Filed under: uncultured bacterium
Lineage: Bacteria
Description: partial 16S ribosomal RNA
Rfam family: Bacterial small subunit ribosomal RNA
Source: RNAcentral